This 713-nucleotide ribosomal RNA is filed under the name Gekko hokouensis x Gekko yakuensis. RNAcentral describes it as "partial 12S ribosomal RNA". It matches the Rfam family "Bacterial small subunit ribosomal RNA", at positions 511 to 1521 of the family's 1533-position model. The record is from RNAcentral. Lineage: Eukaryota; Metazoa; Chordata; Lepidosauria; Squamata; Gekkonidae.
GCCACCGCGGUUACACGAAGGGCCUCAAAUAACCUCAUACGGCGUAAAACGUGACUAGAAGCCAAUUUUAAAUGCGGGACUCACAACCCAGAUAAAGCCGUAAAACGCACACAUCAAAAGGAAUCUCUCCACGCCCCCAUUAACAAAUCACCUUUGACUACACGAAAUCUGUGACACAAACUAGGAUUAGAUACCCUAUUAUGCCCAGACAUAAACACAGGCAGCAAGCUUAACCCACCAUGCCCGCCAGAGAACUACACGCACCCUAGCGUAAAACUCAAAGGACUUGACGGUGUCUCAUACCGCCCUAGAGGAGCCUGUCCUAUAAUCGAUACUCCCCGCUACACCUCACCCCCCAUUGCAAAGCUUCAACCUAUAUACCGCCGUCGCCAGCUCACCUUACAAAAGCCAAACAGUGUGCAAAAUAGUUCCCCACUAAAAAGUCAGGUCAAGGUGUAGUUAAUUGGGGGGACAGCGAUGGGCUACAUUUUCUAGCAAAGAAGCCCCCAGCAAUAUGAAAUAAUGCCAUAAGACGGAUUUAGCAGUAAAUAGAGCAAGAGCCGCUCAAUUGAAGCUCGCCCUGAGACGCGUACACACCGCCCGUCACCCUCCUCAGAAACCAAAAAUCAAAAUAACUAAGCCCCUCCCCCAAAUCUACCAGAUGAGGCAAGUCGUAACAUGGUAAGUGUACUGGAAAGUGCACUUGGCAAAAC